AUUGAACGCUGGCGGCGUGCUUAACACAUGCAAGUCGAUCGGUAACAGGUGUAGCAAUACAUGCUGACGAGAGGCGGACGGGUGAGUAAUGCUUGGGAAUCUGCCUAUUAGGUGGGGGACCAACCCGGGGAAACUCGGGCUAAUACCGCAUACGCUCUACGGAGGAAAGCCGGGGACCGCAAGGCCUGGCGCUAAUAGAUGAGCCCAAGUCGGAUUAGCUAGUGGUAGGACGCCUACCAGCGACAUCCGUAGCUGGUCUGAGAGGACGACCAGCCACACCGGAACUGAGACACGGUCCGGACUCCGUACGGGAGGCAGCAGUGGGGAAUAUUGGACAAGUGGGGGCAACCCUGAUCCAGCGACGCCGCGUGGGUGAAGAA
RNAcentral lists this ribosomal RNA (380 nucleotides) under uncultured bacterium. Its description in RNAcentral is "bacterial SSU rRNA". It matches the Rfam family "Bacterial small subunit ribosomal RNA", at positions 29 to 412 of the family's 1533-position model. The record is from RNAcentral.